UACGGAGGAUCCAAGCGUUAUCCGGAAUUACUGGGCGUAAAGAGUUGCGUAGGUGGCAGAGUGUGUCUGUAGUGAAAGCGUUCGGCUCAACCGAAUACACAUUAUAGAAACUGCUCAGCUAGAGGAUGAGAGAGGUUAUUGGAAUUCCCAGUGUAGGAGUGAAAUCCGUAGAUAUUGGGAGGAACACCGAUGGCGUAGGCAGAUAACUGGCUCAUACCUGACACUAAGGCACGAAAGCGUGGGGAGCAAACGGG
Molecule: ribosomal RNA, 254 nt
Filed under: uncultured bacterium
Lineage: Bacteria
Description: partial 16S ribosomal RNA
Rfam family: Bacterial small subunit ribosomal RNA
Source: RNAcentral